This 497-nucleotide ribosomal RNA is filed under the name uncultured bacterium. RNAcentral's name for it is "partial 16S ribosomal RNA". It matches the Rfam family "Bacterial small subunit ribosomal RNA", at positions 28 to 507 of the family's 1533-position model. The record is from RNAcentral.
GAUGAACGCCGGCGGCGUGCCUAAUACAUGCAAGUCGAGCGAACGGACGAGAAGCUUGCUUCUCUGAUGUUAGCGGCGGACGGGUGAGUAACACGUGGAUAACCUACCUAUAAGACUGGGAUAACUUCGGGAAACCGGAGCUAAUACCGGAUAAUAUUUUGAACCGCAUGGUUCAAAAGUGAAAGACGGUCUUGCUGUCACUUAUAGAUGGAUCCGCGCUGCAUUAGCUAGUUGGUAAGGUAACGGCUUACCAAGGCAACGAUGCAUAGCCGACCUGAGAGGGUGAUCGACCACACUGGAACUGAGACACGGUCCAGACUCCUACGGGAGGCAGCAGUAGGGAAUCUUCCGCAAUGGGCGAAAGCCUGACGGAGCAACGCCGCGUGAGUGAUGAAGGUCUUCGGAUCGUAAAACUCUGUUAUUAGGGAAGAACAUAUGUGUAAGUAACUGUGCACAUCUUGACGGUACCUAAUCAGAAAGCCACGGCUAACUACGUG